CAAGGCGAGGGGCAGCACAGGAAGCAACACCGGGGGGCGACCGGCGCACGGGAGAGAAACGCACAAGCAACACACCAAACAGAGGGGGACAACCCGGCGAAAGACGGACAAACACCGCAAGAAGCAGGGGCCCCGCAUGGGGAUAUUUGCUAAAGAUUCAUCGCUGAUAGAUAGGCAUGCGUUCCAUUAGGCAGUUGGCGGGGUAACGGCCCACCAAACCGACGAUGGAUAGGGGUUCUGAGAGGAAGGUCCCCCACAUUGGUACUGAGACACGGACCAAACUCCUACGGGAGGCAGCAGUGAGGAAUAUUUGUCAAUGGGCGUAAGCCUGAACCAGCCAAGUCGCGUGAGGGAUGAAGGUUCUAUGGAUCGUAAACCUCUUUUAUAAGGGAAUAAAGUGCGGGACGUGUCCCGUUUUGUAUGUACCUUAUGAAUAAGGAUCGGCUAACUCCGUGCCAGCAGCCGCGGUAAUACGGAGGAUCCGAGCGUUAUCCGGAUUUAUUGGGUUUAAAGGGUGCGUAGGCGGCCUUUUAAGUCAGCGGUGAAAGUCUGUGGCUCAACCAUAGAAUUGCCGUUGAAACUGGGAGGCUUGAGUAUGUUUGAGGCAGGCGGAAUGCGUGGUGUAGCGGUGAAAUGCUUAGAUAUCACGCAGAACCCCGAUUGCGAAGGCAGCCUGCCAAGCCAUGACUGACGCUGAUGCACGAAAGCGUGGGGAUCGAACAGGAUUAGAUACCCUGGUAGUCCACGCAGUAAACGAUGAUCACUAGCUGUUUGCGAUACAGUGUAAGCGGCACAGCGAAAGCGUUAAGUGAUCCACCUGGGGAGUACGCCGGCAACGGUGAAACUCAAAGGAAUUGACGGGGGCCCGCACAAGCGGAGGAACAUGUGGUUUAAUUCGAUGAUACGCGAGGAACCUUACCCGGGUUUGAACGCAUUCGGACCGAGGUGGAAACACCUUUUCUAGCAAUAGCCGUUUGCGAGGUGCUGCAUGGUUGUCGUCAGCUCGUGCCGUGAGGUGUCGGCUUAAGUGCCAUAACGAGCGCAACCCUUGCCACUAGUUACUAACAGGUGAUGCUGAGGACUCUGGUGGGACUGCCAGCGUAAGCUGCGAGGAAGGCGGGGAUGACGUCAAAUCAGCACGGCCCUUACAUCCGGGGCGACACACGUGUUACAAUGGCGUGGACAAAGGGAUGCCACCUGGCGACAGGGAGCGAAUCCCCAAACCACGUCUCAGUUCGGAUCGGAGUCUGCAACCCGACUCCGUGAAGCUGGAUUCGCUAGUAAUCGCGCAUCAGCCAUGGCGCGGUGAAUACGUUCCCGGGCCUUGCACA
Molecule: ribosomal RNA, 1331 nt
Filed under: uncultured bacterium
Lineage: Bacteria
Description: bacterial SSU rRNA
Rfam family: Bacterial small subunit ribosomal RNA
Source: RNAcentral